This 253-nucleotide ribosomal RNA is filed under the name uncultured bacterium. RNAcentral describes it as "partial 16S ribosomal RNA". It matches the Rfam family "Bacterial small subunit ribosomal RNA", at positions 524 to 776 of the family's 1533-position model. The record is from RNAcentral.
GACGUAGGGGGCAAGCGUUAUCCGGAAUGAUUGGGUGUAAAGGGUGCGUAGGCGGUACGUAAAGUCAUAUGUCAAAUACCAUAGCUCAACUAUGGGAAGGCAUAAGAAACUAACGAACUAGAGUACAGGAGAGGUAAGCGGAAUUCCUAGUGUAGCGGUGAAAUGCGUAGAUAUUAGGAAGAACACCAGUGGCGAAGGCGGCUUACUGGACUGAUACAGACGCUGAGGCACGAAAGCGUGGGGAGCAAACAGG